UACGUAGGUGGCGAGCGUUGUCCGGAUUUACUGGGCGUAAAGAGCUCGUAGGCGGCUUGUCACGUCGGAUGUGAAAGCCCGGGGCUUAACCCCGGGUCUGCAUUCGAUACGGGCAGGCUAGAGUUCGGUAGGGGAGAUCGGAAUUCCUGGUGUAGCGGUGAAAUGCGCAGAUAUCAGGAGGAACACCGGUGGCGAAGGCGGAUCUCUGGGCCGAUACUGACGCUGAGGAGCGAAAGCGUGGGGAGCAAACAGG
RNAcentral lists this ribosomal RNA (253 nucleotides) under uncultured bacterium. Its description in RNAcentral is "partial 16S ribosomal RNA". It matches the Rfam family "Bacterial small subunit ribosomal RNA", at positions 524 to 776 of the family's 1533-position model. The record is from RNAcentral.